AGUGAACGUUGGCGGCGUGGAUUAGGCAUGCAAGUCGAGCGAGAACCGUAGCAAUACGGGGACAGCGGCGAAAGGGACAGUAAUGUGUAGGUACCUACCCCCGGGUUCGGGAUAGCUGCGGGAAACUGCAGGUAAUACCGAAUAAUGUCUCCGGACCAAAGGUGUGAUUCCACCUGGGGAGGGGCCUGCAUCCUAUUAGCUUGUUGGGGGGGUAACGGCCUACCAAGGCGACGAUGGGUAGCGGGUGUGAGAGCAUGACCCGCGUCAUUGGGACUGAGACACUGCCCAGGCACCUACGGGUGGCUGCAGUCGAGAAUCUUCGGCAAUGGGGGCAAGCCUGACCGAGCGACGCCGCGGGCGGGAUGAAGGCCUUCGGGUUGUAAACCGCUGUCGUAGAGGAGGAAACGCAGGAGGGUUCUCCCUCCUGUUUGACCUAUUCUAGGAGGAAGUACGGGCUAAGUUCGUGCCAGCCGCCGCGGUAA
Molecule: ribosomal RNA, 482 nt
Filed under: uncultured bacterium
Lineage: Bacteria
Description: partial 16S ribosomal RNA
Rfam family: Bacterial small subunit ribosomal RNA
Source: RNAcentral